This 468-nucleotide ribosomal RNA is filed under the name uncultured bacterium. Its description in RNAcentral is "partial 16S ribosomal RNA". It matches the Rfam family "Bacterial small subunit ribosomal RNA", at positions 28 to 507 of the family's 1533-position model. The record is from RNAcentral.
GACGAACGCUGGCGGCGUGCUUAACACAUGCAAGUCGAACGGAAAGGCCCUGCGUUUGUGGUGUGCUCGAGUGGCGAACGGGUGAGUAACACGUGAGUAUCCUGCCCUUGACUUUGGGAUAACUUCAGGAAACUGGGGCUAAUACCGGAUAGGAUCUCCUGCUGCAUUGUGGGGGGUGGAAAGUUUCGGCCGGUGGGGCUGGACGCGCGGCUUAUGAGCUUGUUGGUGGGGUAGUGGCUGACCAAGUGUGUGACGGGUAGGCCGCCUGAGAGGGUGACCGGGCUCCUUGGUCCUACGAGAGGGCCCAGACUCCAAUGGUAGGCAGCGGGGGCGAAUAUUGCACAAUGGUCGCAAGUCUGUGGAAGCAGCGCCGCGUGCGGGAAGCCGUCCUUCGGGGUAUAAACCGCUUUCGCCUGUGACGAAGCUUGAGUGACGGUACUGGAUGAAGAAGCACCGGCUAACUACGUG